AGAGUUUGAUCCUGGCUCAGAACGAACGCUGGCGGCGUGCUGAGACAUGCAAGUCGUGGGAGAAAGUCGGAGCAAUCCGGCUAGUAAACCGGCGCACGGGUGAGUAACACGUGGACAACCUGCCCUGGAGACUGGGAUAACCCGUCGAAAGACGGACUAAUACCGGAUAAGACCACGAGGGGUUCGCCCCUCGAGGUAAAAGGUGGCCUCUGCUCCUGCAAGCUAUUACUCCAAGAAGGGUCCGCGCCCUAUCAGCUAGUUGGUGAGGUGACGGCUCACCAAGGCAAAGACGGGUAGCUGGUCUGAGAGGAUGGUCAGCCACACUGGGACUGAGACACGGUCCAGACUCCUACGGGAGGCAGCAGUGGGGAAUAUUGCGCAAUGGGCGAAAGCCUGACGCAGCGACGCCGCGUGGGGGAUGAAGCUUCUCGGAGUGUAAACCCCUUUCGACCCGGACGAAUGACCCGCAAGGGUUUGACGGUACGGGUAUAAGAAGCCCCGGCUAACUACGUGCCAGCAGCCGCGGUAAUACGUAGGGGGCCAGCGUUGCUCGGAAUUACUGGGCGUAAAGGGUUCGUAGGCGGUGCGGCAAGUUGGGAGUGAAAUCUCUGGGCUUAACCCAGAGGCUGCUUUCAAAACUGCCGUGCUCGAGUGCGAGAGAGGUCAGUGGAAUUGCAGGUGUAGCGGUGAAAUGCGUAGAUAUCUGCAGGAACACCCGUGGCGAAGGCGGCUGACUGGAUCGCAACUGACGCUGAGGAACGAAAGCUAGGGGAGCAAACAGGAUUAGAUACCCUGGUAGUCCUAGCCCUAAACCAUCAGGACUUGGGGUGGCCCGCGUAGGCGGGUCGUCCCGUAGCUAACGCGUUAAGUCCUGCGCCUGGGGAGUACGGUCGCAAGACUGAAACUCAAAGGAAUUGACGG
RNAcentral lists this ribosomal RNA (921 nucleotides) under uncultured bacterium. RNAcentral describes it as "bacterial SSU rRNA". It matches the Rfam family "Bacterial small subunit ribosomal RNA", at positions 8 to 916 of the family's 1533-position model. The record is from RNAcentral.